RNAcentral lists this ribosomal RNA (465 nucleotides) under Vreelandella stevensii. RNAcentral's name for it is "partial 16S ribosomal RNA". It matches the Rfam family "Bacterial small subunit ribosomal RNA", at positions 338 to 795 of the family's 1533-position model. Lineage: Bacteria; Pseudomonadati; Pseudomonadota; Gammaproteobacteria; Oceanospirillales; Halomonadaceae. The record is from RNAcentral.
CCUACGGGAGGCAGCAGUGGGGAAUAUUGGACAAUGGGCGAAAGCCUGAUCCAGCCAUGCCGCGUGUGUGAAGAAGGCCUUCGGGUAGUAAAGCACUUUCAGUGGGGAAGAAAGCCUUGGGGCUAAUACCCUCGAGGAAGGACAUCACCCACAGAAGAAGCACCGGCUAACUCCGUGCCAGCAGCCGCGGUAAUACGGAGGGUGCGAGCGUUAAUCGGAAUUACUGGGCGUAAAGCGCGCGUAGGCGGUCUGAUAAGCCGGUUGUGAAAGCCCCGGGCUCAACCUGGGAACGGCAUCCGGAACUGUCAGGCUAGAGUGCAGGAGAGGAAGGUAGAAUUCCCGGUGUAGCGGUGAAAUGCGUAGAGAUCGGGAGGAAUACCAGUGGCGAAGGCGGCCUUCUGGACUGACACUGACGCUGAGGUGCGAAAGCGUGGGUAGCAAACAGGAUUAGAUACCCUUGUAGUC